This is a long non-coding RNA of Mastomys coucha (southern multimammate mouse), 491 nucleotides long. RefSeq lists it as uncharacterized. The record is from RefSeq and is a predicted model, not a curated record. The transcript is spliced from 3 exons. NCBI's taxonomy places the organism in Eukaryota, Metazoa, Chordata, Mammalia, Rodentia, Muridae.
GAGUCCUCUGGUUGGUACUUUGAGCUGGUUUGCUCAGCCUGUCUUGCAUGGUCACAGUGGUGUGGGCUCAGGACGCCUGGCGUUGAGGCAGUUCAGAAACUGAACAUUCAGGAGAGAAGGCGCCACACUUCAGGAACUCUCGGGUCAUCAUCAUGGCAGCCACUUCCCACUGAUUUGUGUCAUCUUCUUCUGUGCGCUCAUAUUUCCUCAUGUUGACAGCUGACAACAGGAAGCCUGAGGUCUUCAAAUCUACAGACUAAAGUCUCUGGUCCCCAGCAAUGAUGGAAUACCAAGUGUGUUAGUACUUUUCUCAUGAAAGGACAAAAUGCUUGACAAGGACAACUGAAACAAGAGAAGAUUGAGCUCAAGGUUUUAGAGCAGUCUUCAUUGGUUUUGAAGGAAGCACCUGAGCAGAUAUGGCUCCAAUCUGUAGUAGCAGGAGCACAUGGAGGCUUGUUCACACUGUAGCUGGCAGGAAGGAAAGAAUUGUU